CGGCCGGCGCACGGGUGCGUAACGCGUAUGCAACCUACCCAUAACAGGGGGAGUAACACUGAGAAAUUGGUACUAAUACCCCAUAACAUCAGGACCGGCAUCGGUUCUGGUUGAAAACUCCGGUGGUUAUGGAUGGGCAUGCGUUGUAUUAGCUGGUUGGUGAGGUAACGGCUCACCAAGGCAACGAUACAUAGGGGGACUGAGAGGUUAACCCCCCACAUUGGUACUGAGACACGGACCAA
This 242-nucleotide ribosomal RNA is filed under the name uncultured bacterium. RNAcentral's name for it is "partial 16S ribosomal RNA". It matches the Rfam family "Bacterial small subunit ribosomal RNA", at positions 92 to 334 of the family's 1533-position model. The record is from RNAcentral.